UUUGCCGUCACCACUGUGGACGCCAUGGUGGCUAUCGACGCAGUGAUGGACGGCGAGUAUGCAGUUAUGAAGGCGCAUGGCUGAUGUGCAUACCAAGUCAAAACGAAUGUACGUUUUGCUGCAACCGCUGCGGAAGAAACUGUAACCGCUAUCGACACGAUCAUGGGCGGCGACCUUGCAGUUCUGAAGGCACACAGCCAUCACGUGCACCGAUUGAAAAAGGAGCUAUUGUUUGCCAUCACCACUGUGGACGCCAUGGUGGCUAUCGACGCAGUGAUGGAUGGCGAGUAUGCAGUUAUGAAGGCACAUGGCUGAUGUGCAUACCAAGUCAAAACGAAUGUACGUUUUGCUGCAACCGGUGCGGAAGAAACCGUGACCGCUAUCGACACGAUCAUGGGCGGCGACCUUGCAGUUCUGAAGGCACACAGCCAACACGUGCACCGAUUGAAAAAGAAACUAUUGUUUGCCG
This 469-nucleotide long non-coding RNA is filed under the name Dermacentor andersoni. Its description in RNAcentral is "uncharacterized LOC126539757". The record is from RNAcentral. Lineage: Eukaryota; Metazoa; Arthropoda; Arachnida; Ixodida; Ixodidae.